UUCUUCUUGCUGAUGAUAGAGCUGUCACGGUUCAAGGAGUUGGUUCCAUCAAGAUCAAGGCAACCGGAGGAUUAGUCACGCAGCUGAAAAACGUCUGAUAUGUUCCUAAUCUUAAAAGAAAUCUAAUUUCUGUUUCUACUCUUGAUUUGCAGGGUUUCACACAUGAAGGUGGUGAUGGGAAGACAAAGUUCUUCAAAAAUGGUAAAGUUGCACUGCAGGGCACCCUUACCGGAAGCUUAACGCAGGAGUCUAUACUGCUAUGUCUAAAGAUGAGACUGUGUUAUGGCAUAGCAGAUUAGGCCACAUGAAUAUGAAGAAUCUGAAGAUUUUGGUUGAGAAGGGUGUUCUUAACAAGAAGAGAAUCGGGAACAUGGAGUUCUGUGAAAUCUGCGUGGUGGGGAAGAAUAAGAAGCUGAGUUUCAGCAUUGGGAAGUACAGAGGAGGUUCUCAAAUACGUUCAUGCGGACUUAUGGGGUUCUCCUAAUGUCCAUUUUUUUUUCUCAAUGAAGCAGUAUAGAUGACUACUCUUGGAAGAUGCACCAGAGAAUCACAAGGUGAUAGGCUGUAAGUGGGUUUAUAAACUCAAGCCUGGGAUUCCUAGUGUUGAGGCUCCCAGAUAUAAGGCAAGGUUAGUUGCCAAAGGCUAUGCUCAGAGAGAGGGUAUACAUUAUCAAGAAAUCUUCUCACCGGAGGUUAAGCAUGUCUCGAUUUUUAUGAUGUUAUCAAGGACAAUGAAUGAGGAUCUAUAAUUGGAGCAGCUAGAUGCAAACACGGUGUUUCUACAUGGAAAUAUUGAAGAGGAUAUUUACAUGGAUCAACCGGAGGGAUAUGAGGUCAAAGGUCAGAAGGAAAAGGUUUGUCAUCUUCGUAAGUCUCUGUUAUGGCUUGAAACAAGCCUUGAGGUAGUGGAAUAGGUGCUUUGGUCAGUUCAUGUUGAAGCAUGGAUUUGUUAAGAGUAAAUUUGAUAUGUGCGUUUAUCUGAAGAAACUUGGAGGCAAGGUAUGUGUCUAUCUCCUUCAAUACGUAGAUGACAUGUUGAUAGCCUCUAAAGAGAUGUAUGAGAUCAUUAAGGUGAAGAAAUUUCUGAGUAGUGAGUUUGAUAUAAAAUAUUUAGAUCCUGCAAAACAAAAUCUUAGGUAUGGAUAUAGAGAGAGAUAGAAUAGGUGGAGUACUUACACUUUCUCAGUCUGGUUACAUAAAGAAGAUUCUACAAGUUUUCAGGAUGGAUGAAUCAAAGUCUGUAUCAACUCCUAUAGGAGAACAUUUCAAGCGUGCCUCAUUAGGAAAUGGAGAGGAUGAUGAAGUGAGAAGUGAAUUUCCUUAUUCAAGUGUUGUUGGCAGCAUUAUGUAUGCAAUGGGCACCAGGCCAGAUCUUGCUUAUGUUGUUGGUCUGGUAAGCAGGUUUAUGAGUAAUCCAGGAAAAGUUCAUUGGACGGCUGUACAGUGGAUUCUCAGGUAUUUUAAAAGGACUCAGGACAGAGGUUUAGUUUUCAGGAAGACUUCAGGGGAUUUCAAAGUUGAGGUUAUAGUGAUUCAGAUUUUGUUGGAGAUUUGGAUUGAAGAAGGUCGAUUUCAGGUUAUGUGUUUACUGCAGGUGGUAAUACGAUCAGCUGGAGAUCGGGAUUACAACAGGUUGUAGCAUUGUCGACUACAGAGGCUGAAUAUGUGGCCUUAACGGAGGCAGUUAAGGAGGGUAUUUGGCUGAAAGGCUUAGCAGAUUAAAUGGGUUUCAAGCAGCAGGUUGUGGCUGUGAAUUGUGAUCACAAAGUGUUAUCUGUCUAGCGAAGAAUAAUGUCUAUCACAAAAGAACAAAACACAUGGUAGUGAAAAUGAUAUAGUUGACUUGGAGAAAUAAGUGUUCAGAAGAUUCAUACUUCGAAGAAUCAUGCUGAUAUACUUACCAAGGUGAUUCUUGUUCAGAAGUUUGAGGCUACGCUUAAUGGCUUGAGGAGAUAGACUCGGAAAUGUUUGUGUCAAGGUGGAGUUUGUUGAAAUGUGACACAGUCACUUAUAUUAGUCAAAACCAGUUUUAGUUUAUGAUUUGGUACAAGCUCUAACUAGGUGAUCAUAGUAAUUUGAUUAGAACCGGUUACUGUCAUGUGUAUCAGCUUGGUUCAAUCUCUGAACCAAGGAGCUAAAUGAGUCUAUGUGUAUAAGUGAGCUGAGAGAUGAUUCUGCAGAGUUGUUGGGAAUCAUUCUUCUUCUUGCUCUGGAUCUGGUACGUUUUUGAUCUAGUGGAAUUCUUGCUAGCUUGAGAAAACAAGCCCCAGAGACGUAGCUUCGGCGAACCCUGGGUUAACAAAUCGUGUUUGUCUUUUACUUUCUUUCUAUCUUGCUUAAUCUCAUGAUUGUUCUUAUUGGAGU
This 2364-nucleotide long non-coding RNA is filed under the name Eutrema salsugineum. RNAcentral's name for it is "long non-coding RNA (ESAL_LNC001518)". The record is from RNAcentral. Lineage: Eukaryota; Viridiplantae; Streptophyta; Magnoliopsida; Brassicales; Brassicaceae.